Molecule: non-coding RNA, 45 nt
Organism: Schistosoma mansoni
Lineage: Eukaryota; Metazoa; Platyhelminthes; Trematoda; Strigeidida; Schistosomatidae
Source: Rfam
ACCCAGCUGACGAGUCCCAAAGAGGACGAAACGCGCGUCCUGGAU